GGUUGCCAGCACUUCAGUUAGACUUGACACAGAACAGCUGGAUUUCUAGCUUCCCUUUAAACCUGGCUGCACUGGGUCUGUGUGGCAGGUCCUGGUCCCCCUGAGCUCCAUCCCUUCUGGCUUACAGCCACCUUGUCCCUGACAAAAGGGUGAGAAAACCGCUUCUCUGUAUAAAUUGAAACACUGCCUAAGUCCGAAUGGGAAGUUGUUGCUCUGUAGCAGUGACGGUCUGUAGCUGAGGCUGAACGUGUAUGUGCUGAAGGACAGUCAUGUAAACAGUUAACAGGAAGAACGAGGACUUAAUGAGAAUGUUGGCUCUCCUUGCAGAAGACAAGAAGGACAUUUGCUAAUGAAGACUGUGGAAGGUAUUUGUUAACCAAAGAUUAGAUAUGGGUAGUUGAUGGUUAUUCCCAGCUGGGCUAGAAGUUCCUGGGAAUAGCGUGACCUUGGUAUUAGCCCCUCUCAGAUUCACUGGAGGAUGACGCAGGGCCCUGAAACAUCUCACAGGAAGGGAGAUGGCUUUGCUGGAGUUGAAGGAUAUGGAGGCACUUUUUAUAACAAAGAUUAAGAGUUGUUUCAUGGACAGUGGAAAUUAAAUGAAGUCAUCAGUGCCACUAUAAGCAUCUUAAGGUUUCUUUACUGAGUUUUUUUUAAGCAAGGAAUACUCUUGUGAUUAUUAAAUUAACCUGUCUAUAUUGACUUGUGUUUUCUUCUGCAGUACUUCUAACUUUGUUUUAUAAUAUUAUUCUAAGUGGUGUGCCAAAUUAUAGAUUAUUGAAAUAUCUUAUGAUAAUAAAAUCCUCUUAAAUUUUGAA
This 815-nucleotide small RNA is filed under the name Pongo abelii (Sumatran orangutan). RNAcentral's name for it is "processed transcript". The record is from RNAcentral. Lineage: Eukaryota; Metazoa; Chordata; Mammalia; Primates; Hominidae.